CCCCGAACCAUCAAACACCAAUUCCGGAACUGCUGCUACCGCAGCUGCUCCAGGUACACGGCUAAGCUACAAGGGAGUGGACAUAGUCCAGAGGGAGUAGAAAGGAGACAAACAGUCCUUUUUAAGACGCAAAGUGAUAUGAUUAAAAAGAAGAUGCAAUCAGAGAGACUUUCAAAAGAAUAUGGGCAAUUCCUGAAAGCAAACUCAGAAUUUCUAAAUCAUUCAAGGUCCAGAAGCCCAGGAAACUUUCCAUUGUGGAUCCCAUCCACUCCCUCCUAACAGCACAGAGCCCAAGUUCACCUUUGUGACUGAACUCCAACUUUGCUCUCAAUGCACGCUUGCCCUGCCACUUCUUCAACCUGUAAACACCAACAGACCAUAAAUCCAAACACACCUUGUCACCCUACCAGCUCUGAAACCCGCACAAAAUGUUUUCUAAGCAGAUACCUUGAUUUUUGCUUUAAGGAUUUGUAACAACCACAGCAAAGGUUAGUGCAGUAUUUACUUUGCACCAAAUUCUACCGAAGCACUUCUUACAUUAACAAUUAAUCUUCACAGAAUCCCAGGACCUCGGUUUCACCAAGAUCCCCGUGUUAAAAACCAAGGCACGUGGAGCAUAGCGUUUGCUCCAGGGGCACACAAGGAGCGGGUGGCAGAGCCGGAGUUUGACCUCGAAGACGAAGCAGUUUACUUUAACUUGCGGCUGGUACUGCAGCCGCGCCAGGGAAAGCCGACCUAAACCAAGGCAAAACAACAGGAUAGGGAGGCUGCCCAGCAUGCCUCUUUUGGGAAAGCAAGAAGGCUCCCCUUCAGCAGUCACCGUGCAGGACUCCAU
This is a long non-coding RNA of Ochotona princeps (American pika), 835 nucleotides long. RefSeq lists it as uncharacterized. NCBI's taxonomy places the organism in Eukaryota, Metazoa, Chordata, Mammalia, Lagomorpha, Ochotonidae. The transcript has 3 exons. The record is from RefSeq and is a predicted model, not a curated record.